RNAcentral lists this small RNA (2625 nucleotides) under Pongo abelii (Sumatran orangutan). Its description in RNAcentral is "processed transcript". The record is from RNAcentral. Lineage: Eukaryota; Metazoa; Chordata; Mammalia; Primates; Hominidae.
AGUUGCGCGCUGGGAUUGUUGCCGUGUGCUGGAGCCGGGUGUUUGUGAACCGAAGUUUAGCGAUGGAAAAGAUAAAGUGUUUUGGUUUUGAUAUGGAUUAUACCCUUGCUGGAGAGCCAGUGUAACUCCUUCAAGACUGGAGUGACACACACUGCAUCUGCAUCUGCCUCAUGGGACUUGUCUUUGACACACUAUAUGGAAAUCUUUUGAAAGUGGAUGCCUAUGGAAACCUCUUGGUCUGUGCACAUGGAUUUAACUUUAUAAGGGGUUCUCAGGUAGCUGUUCAGAAGAGACCAGAAACUAGAGAACAGUAUCCAAAUAAAUUUAUCCAGCGAGAUGAUACUGAAAGAUUUUACAUUUUGAACACACUAUUCAACCUACCAGAGACCUACCUGUUGGCCUGCCUAGUAGAUUUUUUUACUAAUUGUCCCAGAUAUACCAGUGAAUUUAGUGCUAGUGAGAGAUGCCACAUUGCCAACCUGAGAGAUGGGACAGCACCAGCAGCUCCAUGCAGGCUCUCACCUCCCACACGGCCCCUCUCCUUGCCAGUGUGCUGCAGCCACCACUUCUGAUUGGCUUCUCCUGGGAAUGAAGACGGCCAGCAGAGGUGCUAAUUGUGACAACUGAGUGGGAGGUUUGUGUGAUGAUUAUCUGUCCAAGCAGAAUUACACUAAAACCCCCCAACUCAUUUCACAGCAGCUACCCAAGAGCCAUUCAGGGAUGUUGUGAAACAGGAUUUAAAGAUGGGGACCUCUUCAUGUCCUACCGGAGUAUGUUCCAGGAUGUAAGAGAUGCUGUUGACUGGGUUCAUUACAAGGGCUCCCUUAAGGAAAAGACAGUUGAAAACCUUGAGAAGUAUGUAGUCAAAGAUGGAAAACUGCCUUUGCUUCUGAGCCGGAUGAAGGAAGUAGGGAAAGUAUUUCUUGCUACCAACAGUGACUAUAAAUAUACAGAUAAAAUUAUGACUUACCUGUUUGACUUCCCACAUGGCCCCAAGCCUGGGAGCUCCCAUCGACCAUGGCAGUCCUACUUUGACCUGAUCUUGGUGGAUGCACGGAAACCACUCUUUUUUGGAGAAGGCACAGUACUGCGUCAAGUGGAUACUAAAACUGGCAAGCUGAAAAUUGGUACCUACACAGGGCCCCUACAGCAUGGUAUCGUCUACUCAGGAGGUUCUUCUGAUACGAUCUGUGACCUGUUGGGAGCCAAGGGAAAAGACAUUUUGUAUAUUGGAGAUCACAUUUUUGGUGACAUUUUAAAAUCAAAGAAACGGCAAGGGUGGCGAACUUUUUUGGUGAUUCCUGAACUCGCACAGGAGCUACAUGUCUGGACCGACAAGAGUUCACUUUUCGAAGAACUUCAGAGCUUGGAUAUUUUCUUGGCUGAACUCUACAAGCACCUUGACAGCAGUAGCAAUGAGCGUCCAGACAUUAGUUCCAUCCAGAGACGUAUUAAGAAAGUAACUCAUGACAUGGACAUGUGCUAUGGGAUGAUGGGAAGCCUGUUUCGCAGUGGCUCCCGGCAGACCCUUUUUGCCAGUCAAGUGAUGCGUUAUGCUGACCUCUAUGCAGCAUCUUUCAUCAACCUGCUGUAUUACCCAUUCAGCUACCUCUUCAGGGCUGCCCAUGUCUUGAUGCCUCAUGAAUCAACGGUGGAGCACACACAUGUAGAUAUCAAUGAGAUGGAGUCUCCUCUUGCCACCCGGAACCGCACAUCAGUGGAUUUCAAAGACACUGACUAUAAGCGGCACCAGCUGACACGGUCAAUUAGUGAGAUUAAACCUCCCAACCUCUUCCCACUGGCCCCCCAGGAAAUUACACACUGCCAUGAUGAAGAUGAUGAUGAAGAGGAGGAGGAGGAGGAAGAAUAAGGAGGAAAACCAAAACCCCAAGCACCCAUUAAACAAGUCCUGGCAGGACUCACAGGAACAAACGAUGUCCCUGUUAGGGUUCUGCUGGGGGGAGGGAGGGGGCUCCAUGAAAGGUACGUCUGAAAAGUUUCUGAAGAUUUUAUUAUCAUAGAUACUUGUUUUGGUUUUGUGUAUCUGUACUCUUUGCAGAUGGUCCAAAAUUGUAAUGGAGUCUGUAUUAGAAGAAAAUAAGGGUAAAAUCACGCUGAACUGCAUGUAUAUGGCUCCACUGUGGCUCGUGACACUUUUUUAAAAUCAUCCAUAUGUCAGUGUAUCUAGAUACACGAGGAAAAGGAAAGAGUCUCAGAGUGGAACAAAGAGUGGGAAGAGGUGAUCUGUAAUGUUACAAAUUGUGCUAUUACUCCAAGAUCCAGCUUUUCCAGUGCAUUACAUGGUAUUGUAUAUCAGUGGAGAAAUGUAUUAUUUCCAUGAUCAAAUAGUCUGUUAAGGUCAAGUUUCCUUUUAUAAGCCUUUAAUUCAUCCUCAGUGACUCUGGCAAGGCUGCUUCUCUGUCAAUCACUGGCUUUGCACAGAAGUAUCCUCUACUUGCUUUAGGGCAGGAUUCUAGUUUGAGGGAAAAGACAGUAUCUUUAUUACCUUUUGUUUGUUUAAUAGCACAAAUGCUUAUUAUUUGUUAUCCAAAAACCACCUUUUUCUUAUCUGUGAUAAAUCUGUAGAGAGAAUUUAGCUGCCAGUGGACAAAGGAACAAGCCCCC